AUUGAACGCUGGCGGCAGGCCUAACACAUGCAAGUCGAGCGGCAGCGACUUAACUGAACCUUCGGGGAACGUUAAGGGCGGCGAGCGGCGGACGGGUGAGUAAUGCCUGGGAAUAUGCCCUGAUGUGGGGGAUAACUAUUGGAAACGAUAGCUAAUACCGCAUAAUCUCUUCGGAGCAAAGAGGGGGACCUUCGGGCCUCUCGCGUCAGGAUUAGCCCAGGUGGGAUUAGCUUGUUGGUGAGGUAAUGGCUCACCAAGGCAACGAUCCCUAGCUGGUCUGAGAGGAUGAUCAGCCACACUGGAACUGAGACACGGUCCAGACUCCUACGGGAGGCAGCAGUGGGGAAUAUUGCACAAUGGGGGAAACCCUGAUGCAGCCAUGCCACGUGUGUGAAGAAGGCCUUCGGGCUGUAAAGCACUUUCAGUAGGGAGGAAGGUAGUGUAGUUAACACCUGCAUUAUUUGACGUUACCUACAGAAGAAGCACCGGCUAACUCCGUGCCAGCAGCCGCGGUAAUACGGAGGGUGCGAGCGUUAAUCGGAAUUACUGGGCGUAAAGCGCAUGCAGGCGGCCUGUUAAGUCAGAUGUGAAAGCCCGGGGCUUAACCUCGGAAUUGCAUUUGAAACUGGCAGGCUAGAGUCUUGUAGAGGGGGGUAGAAUUUCAGGUGUAGCGGUGAAAUGCGUAGAGAUCUGAAGGAAUACCAGUGGCGAAGGCGGCCCCCUGGACAAAGACUGACGCUCAGAUGCGAAAGCGUGGGGAGCAAACAGG
RNAcentral lists this ribosomal RNA (769 nucleotides) under uncultured bacterium. Its description in RNAcentral is "bacterial SSU rRNA". It matches the Rfam family "Bacterial small subunit ribosomal RNA", at positions 28 to 776 of the family's 1533-position model. The record is from RNAcentral.